UACGUAGGGACCGAGCGUUGUCCGGAAUCAUUGGGCGUAAAGAGCGUGUAGGCGGCUUGCUAAGUCUUGCGUGAAAUCUCGGGGCUCAACCCCGAGCGGUCGUGGGAAACUGGCAGGCUAGAGUGCGGGAGAGGAGAAUGGAAUUCCUGGUGUAGCGGUGAAAUGCGCAGAUAUCAGGAAGAACACCCGUGGCGAAGGCGAGUCCCUGGACAACACCUGACACUGAGGCACGAAAGCUAGGGGAGCAAACAGG
This 253-nucleotide ribosomal RNA is filed under the name uncultured bacterium. RNAcentral's name for it is "partial 16S ribosomal RNA". It matches the Rfam family "Bacterial small subunit ribosomal RNA", at positions 524 to 776 of the family's 1533-position model. The record is from RNAcentral.